CCUACGCGGACGCGAGUGCGCGGGAGCCUGACUGGGGCCGGGCUCUGCAGGAGACUCGGGAAGGGGUGCUCUUUUUGGGGCACUUAGAAUGAUGCUGUUUGAGGCUUGGAAAUGUGGGAGGAGCGGAAGGACGGCAGUUCAGUUUGGAUUAUGGAUCUGGACCGGGCGGUGGGGGGCGGUGCGCCCCAGGAAGUGUACGGGAGCACAGUCGCCGGUGCCCCAGGGGCGCGAGAGGCGCCAGGUACAAGGGCUGGCUCAGUAUUUUCUCGCUUCCGCUGAGUGGCCUCAGUUUCCUUACCUGAAGAGUGGGGUAAUAGUGCGGAUUUCAAAGGGCGUUUCGGUAGUUAGGUGGGGUAAAGUCUGUAAAGCAUCUAGGACACAGUGCUUCCUUAUGAAAAAAUAAUUUCCUUUCCGAAAGAAAGGAAAGAAAGAAAGGAGAGAGAGAGAAAAGAAAAAGAAAAGAAAAGAAAGACCAACUUAUAAGUAGGGCAGACCGUGUCUGGAUUGUCUCUCUUCGCCUCGUACUUUUGGAACAAAUACAUGUCUAUACAAAGUUCACCGUUUUUCCAGAGCCUCCUUUUCUACCGUGGGAGGCGGUGCUGAGCCCUGGCGCUGACGCACCGACACGUAUCAGUGAUCCGCUAGGAGCAGAGCGGGACCCAAGCUGCUUUUAGCAGCCGCUUGGGACAACGCCAAUGAGUACUUGCCCCUGCCAGCUCCGCAGCUACUUUAAGAUGGGGAGGGGAGGCGGAGGCCCGAGGGGCCGGCGGCCUGGCAGACGUCCUUCUCCAGGACAUCCAGCUUGCAGAGCAACCGCAGAUGAAAGCUUUGAUGAUGUGGAAUGUGGAAAUUUUUGGAAAAGGAUCCUGUCAGAAGGAAGUACUCUUGCUGUGUCUGCUGUAGGAAGGCCCAGUUAAGAAUGCCUGGAGACAACGGAGCCAAAUAUACACUAAGGGCCAGGAGUCAGAUUCUCACUUUACACGCAGCUGCCAUUUUGAAAAAAAAAGACUAUUUCACUGUCAUUAUUUCAUUUUAUAAUUCUUCUAAAAUGUGUUUUAAAAAUCAAUAACUAUUAUUUGUUUCUCAUUCAUACUGCAUUAUUGGCCAGAUACUGAAACUCUUCAUGCCAUAGGGUGCAUUGUGCUUUAGUUUGGGAACUUUCAGGGCAAUAGACCACUAAGUAAAACUGGCUUAGUUAAGGAGGUUACUUAAUUAAUAUGGUAUGUCAGUCAAUCUGAAGCAGGAAGUUCCACUAUUGUGACUCAGUGUUAGGCCUGCAGAUAGGCUUCUAGGCUCUUGGCUUCCCUUUUGGUUACAUGGGGCCUCCUGUUGUCAGGUCAUCACAUUUCAUAGGACCUCAGCAGAGGCAAGAAAGAUGGCAGAGCCUACCCCUGUGCAACUGUCCUACUAGAAAAGAAAACCUUUCCUUGAAGAUCUUCUCUUUAGUAGGUCACGUUGUUGGAAGCAUUACACCAUUCUUAGCUGCAAGGGAGGCUGGGAAAGUGAGCAUCUGGUGGGUGGCAGGUGACAGGUGGGGUCUAGUGGCAGGAAGUCAAGGAAGUGAGAAUGGCUAUUGAGCAGGUAAACCACAGUCAGCCGCACAUUACUAGUUGAAAUUAACUUUCAAGCAAUAUCAUUUAGCAAUAUGCAUAGUCUUCCAGGGUAUUUUGUUCAGGCUAUUCAUUAAAUAUGAUCUAGAUCCAAGAAAACUUUGAUAUUUACAUUUUUUUCCUUUAGAAAUUCACACAGUACAAUUCUCUGUACAGUUGGUAUGAAAUAAAUGUCCAACAGUUUACUACAUGUUUUAUUUAUAAUGUGUAUCCCCGGGGUAGUAUCAACCGCUUAGUUCCUUAUGUUUAAGCCCCUCCCUUCCCUUUUGAGACUUUGUACAAACAAGGACAUAUUCUGGAAUUUUAGAUUUUUUUUUCUUUAAGUCUUAUACCAUGUAAUAUUAAAAAAUAGUCAAGUAUAUUAUAGGAGAAACUGUACGAAUACCAUCUGUGAAGGCCAUGUAAGUCAAAGAAUCUUUAUAUUAAAAAAUGUUGGUGUAUAAGAGUUUACUUCUGGGUACAGUGAAUCACUUAAAAUGAGGUCUUUUACAUUAGUAAUACAGUAAUAACUAUAAGGCAACUAAGUGCAGGCGAUGGGGUGACAAUGACAUUUCUUUCUAGUUUGUUUAUCUUUGACCAGGCUUAGGUAAUUUGAUGUAUUUUAAUUUGAGAGGUGAUAGCACUUUAGUUUUUGUCUGGUAUGAGUCCUCACAUGCUCUCUCAGAAGCAAAUGUACUUUCAUAGGAUUAACCUUAUUAGUUUAUAAUAAGUAUAAUUCAUAGUAUAAUUUAAAGACAGCAUAAGAAAAAAAGGAUGCAUUAGUAGGUGGAAUUUACAUAAAUUGUAUCACAUUAAUGUGAACUCCUGGAUGCUUUCCUCAAAACACAGUCCUGUAGGGUUUGGUUUGGUUUUCCACUAGGGCGCCUGGGUGGCU
This is a long non-coding RNA of Lutra lutra (Eurasian river otter), 2484 nucleotides long. RefSeq lists it as uncharacterized. NCBI's taxonomy places the organism in Eukaryota, Metazoa, Chordata, Mammalia, Carnivora, Mustelidae. The record is from RefSeq and is a predicted model, not a curated record. The transcript is spliced from 4 exons.